RNAcentral lists this long non-coding RNA (230 nucleotides) under Gossypium raimondii (Peruvian cotton). RNAcentral describes it as "long non-coding RNA (GRAI_LNC006415)". The record is from RNAcentral. Lineage: Eukaryota; Viridiplantae; Streptophyta; Magnoliopsida; Malvales; Malvaceae.
UUCUAAUUCUUUUGUUUCUUUUUUCAGGUCAAAUAAAAAACUUUCUCUAGUCGAACAACUUGAAUACAAUCUUGGUUCGCUGCCUGCUAUUAGAUAAUGAAUUGAAAGCAGACACGCUGUGUAUAUGACUUAUACAGUAUGUAGCGUUAUUCCACAACAGUGAAAUUCAUAGCCCAAUAAAUGGUAAAUGAUAUCCUCUCGUUGACAUUACAUGAUAGAUGAAAAGCAAA